RNAcentral lists this ribosomal RNA (301 nucleotides) under uncultured bacterium. RNAcentral describes it as "partial 16S ribosomal RNA". It matches the Rfam family "Bacterial small subunit ribosomal RNA", at positions 509 to 807 of the family's 1533-position model. The record is from RNAcentral.
CAGUAGCCGCGGGAAUACGUAGGGUGCGAGCGUUAAUCGGAAUUACUGGGCGUAAAGCGUGCGCAGGCGGUUUCUUAAGUCUGAUGUGAAAGCCCCCGGCUCAACCGGGGAGGGUCAUUGGAAACUGGGAAACUUGAGUGCAGAAGAGGAGAGUGGAAUUCCACGUGUAGCGGUGAAAUGCGUAGAGAUGUGGAGGAACACCAGUGGCGAAGGCGACUCUCUGGUCUGUAAUUGACGCUGAGGAGCGAAAGCGUGGGGAGCGAACAGGAUUAGAUACCCCCGUAGUCCCUGUCUCUUAUAC